This 253-nucleotide ribosomal RNA is filed under the name uncultured bacterium. Its description in RNAcentral is "partial 16S ribosomal RNA". It matches the Rfam family "Bacterial small subunit ribosomal RNA", at positions 524 to 776 of the family's 1533-position model. The record is from RNAcentral.
UACGUAGGGAGCAAGCGUUGUCCGGAAUCAUUGGGCGUAAAGCGCGCGUAGGUGGCUUCAUAAGUCCGUUGUGAAAGUCAAAGGCUCAUCCUUUGAAAGCCGAUGGAUACUGUGGAGCUAGAGUACGGAAGAGGCGAGUGGAAUUCCUGGUGUAGCGGUGAAAUGCGCAGAUAUCAGGAAGAACACCCGUGGCGAAGGCGGCUCUCUGGGACGGUACUGACGCUGAGACGCGAAAGCGUGGGGAGCGAACAGG